This 432-nucleotide ribosomal RNA is filed under the name uncultured bacterium. Its description in RNAcentral is "partial 16S ribosomal RNA". It matches the Rfam family "Bacterial small subunit ribosomal RNA", at positions 29 to 507 of the family's 1533-position model. The record is from RNAcentral.
AACGAACGCUGGCGGCAUGCCUAACACAUGCAAGUCGAACGAGACCUUCGGGUCUAGUGGCGCACGGGGCGUAACGCGUGGGAACCUGCCCUUAGGUUCGGAAUAACUCCCCGAAAGGGGUGCUAAUACCGGAUAAUGUCUUCGGACCAAAGAUUUAUCGCCUUUGGAUGGGCCCGCGUUGGAUUAGCUAGUUGGUAGGGUAAAAGCCUACCAAGGCGACGAUCCAUAGCUGGUCUGAGAGGAUGAUCAGCCACACUGGGACUGAGACACGGCCCAGACUCCUACGGGAGGCAGCAGUGGGGAAUAUUGGACAAUGGGCGAAAGCCUGAUCCAGCAAUGCCGCGUGAGUGAUGAAGGCCUUAGGGUUGUAAAGCUCUUUUACCCGGGAUGAUAAUGACAGUACCGGGAGAAUAAGCUCCGGCUAACUCCGUG